UCAUGGGAGAUAUACAAAGAAAGAGUAAUUUGGAGCAAUAUAUAACAGCGUUUAACCUAGAUAAUUCUAAUAAGUACCGCUCAGAUUGUUAUUGAAGAAAAAUGAAAAUAAUUUAUUCAUGCAAGAGUAAGCAAUCUAAUUUAGAAAGAUUUUAUCGUAUGCUAAAAAAUUAUUUGGGUAUCCACCAUUGUUGAUUUAUAUCUCAAUGCUAAAUGGUGUAAAUAAUGUGGAUCG
This 234-nucleotide long non-coding RNA is filed under the name Elaeis guineensis (African oil palm). RNAcentral describes it as "long non-coding RNA (EGUI_LNC001682)". The record is from RNAcentral. Lineage: Eukaryota; Viridiplantae; Streptophyta; Magnoliopsida; Arecales; Arecaceae.